CAAUAACCUCUUCCUAGAUCCAGAGACUCAGACCCUCCAGUCUUAUACCAUGGCCAUUGGGCAAUUUCAACAAAAUAUAUGCUUGUGGUGUGUCAAACAGGACCCAAAAGAUUCUAAAGAGCCACCACUAUAUGCUCCAGAGACUCAAGUCCUAAUUGAAGUCUGGAAAGUUGGGUCCCCAAAAGGCUCAACUCCAGCCCACAUGGAAGGGCCCCUACCCUAUAGUACUUUCUACCACCACAGCAGUCAAGGUACUAGGACAUAAUUCCUGGAUUCACUACUCAUGAGUCAAGCUGUGGAAGAAAACAGAAGAGGACACUCAAUACACCUGUCAACAAGCACAACAUGUGGUGCCAGUUCAACAAGGAUAUAUAAAACUACAGCUGACCAUGGAAAAUAUCACUCACCCUUAUAUGGACACCGCUAUAAGGACUCUGAGGCUUGAGACUAGCAAGAGGGGGAGGCCCAAUGCCCCUUGCUGUCCCAGUUCAGCAGGAAGUAGCCAGAGAGACCUUGAUGCCCCAUUCCCAAAGAAUUGGGCCUCCCAUCUCUUGAGGGGGGAAUGUUAGGUAGUUAGAAUAGGAAAAAGGAGUCCAUAAUGGCUGUGGCUAAAAGACAAAGAAAGGAAAAAGCCCGUGAAAAUAGAACAAAGGAAGUUCGGAGGACUGGAGUGAGAACCUCAGGUGAAACAAACAGCCCUCCUGGCUAGCCCAAUUUACAUAGGGCAAACUCAGGGGGAGGAGAAAAAACAUAUAAAAAGAGGAGCCAAAAUUGAGCUGGCUUCUCUUCUCUUUGUGUCUUUUGGGUCAGCCCACCCUCAUGCCUCAAGGAUGUAUUUUCGUUUACUUGCCAAAUAAAACUGAGCUGUAACACUGAUCUGUCUGUCACUUCAAAUUUUUGCUGUAGCAAGACAGAACUGAGGAAAUUGCACACUCCCCUGACAGUAACAAAUAAUUUUAGUGUGAAAAGAAGUGAAAGUGUUACUUGCUCAGUCGUUUCUGACUCUGCGACUCCAUGGACUGUAACCCAUCAGGCUCCCCUGUCUAUGGGAUUCUCCAG
Bos taurus (domestic cattle) is the source of this 1059-nucleotide long non-coding RNA. The record is from Ensembl. Lineage: Eukaryota; Metazoa; Chordata; Mammalia; Artiodactyla; Bovidae.